AUCCCUUCGUAGUUCAUAAGCGUGAUGACUGGUUUUCACGCUCAUGUGUGAGAUGUCCCUCCCUCAAACCUAUGAUGACAUUGUCACGUUACCAGUCUGAUG
Small nucleolar RNA from Gorilla gorilla gorilla (western lowland gorilla), 102 nucleotides. It matches the Rfam family "Small nucleolar RNA U13". The record is from Rfam. Lineage: Eukaryota; Metazoa; Chordata; Mammalia; Primates; Hominidae.